AUGGUUCAAAACUAUAGGAAGGCCAAGACCUCGCUACAGAUGCUCAUCUGCUGGGAGAUUUGGAAUGAGAGGAACGCUAGGGUGUUUCGUUCCAAACCUUGCCAUCCUUCCAGAGUGGUCGUGACGAUCAAAGACGAGGCUAAGACGUGGGUCAUCGCCUGGGCUAGAUUAUUGGGCAAUUUAAUUAUGGGAGAGUAG
RNAcentral lists this ribosomal RNA (198 nucleotides) under Triticum aestivum (bread wheat). RNAcentral's name for it is "partial small subunit ribosomal RNA". Lineage: Eukaryota; Viridiplantae; Streptophyta; Magnoliopsida; Poales; Poaceae. The record is from RNAcentral.